RNAcentral lists this transfer RNA (73 nucleotides) under Candidatus Omnitrophota bacterium. Its description in RNAcentral is "tRNA-Ala". It matches the Rfam family "tRNA". Rfam says of the family: Transfer RNA (tRNA) molecules are approximately 80 nucleotides in length. Lineage: Bacteria; Pseudomonadati; Candidatus Omnitrophota. The record is from RNAcentral.
GGGGCCGUGGUGCAGCUGGGAGCACACCUCGUUCGCAACGAGGAGAUCGUCGGUUCAAAUCCGAUCGGCUCCA